UAAGAAGAACAUGCAAACAAUCAUUAUAGAACCCUAUCAUUACAAAAACAUUCCUCAAGAAAAUAUCAAAUUAAAAGGUCAAAAUAACUCAAGAAAAAUCAAUAAACUUCACUAUAACAUCAAAUUAUCUAAGAGAAAUUAUUAUUGCACACGAUACAUAUUAAUGACAACAAAACAAUCACAAGAAAAUGUAAUGAUAUGCAUGAGCUUAGACUCUACUUCACAAUGUGGUAUCAUUCUAACUCUGAAGUACUUGGUUAGGAUACUUGAUAUUAUGCCACCAUCUCGUUGGACGGACAAUUCAAAUUAGCCAUGUCCUCAUAGAUCCCCUCAGCUCAACCCGACAUUUGGGGUGUUACCUCCAAGUCACCUAGGAAUUCCUCAUUCGAAUACCUCCAAGGUCUAACAAUCUUGCCUUAAGGUUCAACAGCAGACCGCCACAAUCAGGCUCAUUCAUUGUAGUUCCUCGGAAUCACUAGGCUUGUCAAGUCCUACCUAUAUGAUGACAAAAUAAUCUCCACUUCACAGAUUCUCAAUAUUUAUUUUCUCCCCUCGUUGGCCCAUGAUACUCCAUUAAGACAGUCAUCUCAAACACAAAUUGGAAUCACCAUUAUUUCAUCAAACAUGAGGUUACUUCAAUAUUUUCAUCACAAUUUAUAACAUCACUAUCAUUAAUCACACAUCAUCAUUAUCUCAUAAACUCAUCACAAAUUUAUAGCAUCACUAUCAUCAAUCAUAUACCUCAUCACAUAAACUUAUCACAAAUUUAUAACAUCACAAUUAUUAAUCAUACAUCAUCAUCAUCACAUAAAAUUAUCACAAUGUGUCCCUCUUUUAUUAUCACAACACAUAAACUUUUAUCUAAAUGAGUAUUGAAAUUUGGACGAUAACGGAGAAAGUUUUAUGAAACAAUUAUCGAUUGUCAGUGCCAAUUUUCUUCCUUUUCUCUCAAUUUGCAGCUGCCCUAUUUAUUUACGUAUGAUCUCUCUUUGUGGUAUAUUUCAUUCUUUCUCUUUUCAAUUAAAUUCUUUUUAUUAAUUAUUUAAUUAGUCUUGCAUAUGGGUUUAACCCAUAAAACACAUUUUACUUUUUAUUUAUUUAUUUUUCAAAAUAAAACAAACAAUUAUCAAAACUAUUUUUUU
RNAcentral lists this long non-coding RNA (1142 nucleotides) under Cicer arietinum (chickpea). RNAcentral's name for it is "long non-coding RNA (CARI_LNC002823)". The record is from RNAcentral. Lineage: Eukaryota; Viridiplantae; Streptophyta; Magnoliopsida; Fabales; Fabaceae.